CCUACGGGGAGGCAGCAGUGGGGAAUUUUGGACAAUGGGCGCAAGCCUGAUCCAGCCAUUCCGCGUGAGUGAAGAAGGCCUUCGGGUUGUAAAGCUCUUUCGCAAGGGAAGAAACGAUACUGGUAAAUAAUCAGUGUUAAUGACGGUACCUUGAUAAGAAGCACCGGCUAACUACGUGCCAGCAGCCGCGGUAAUACGUAGGGUGCGAGCGUUAAUCGGAAUUACUGGGCGUAAAGCGUGCGCAGGCUGUUUUGUAAGUCAGAUGUGAAAUCCCCGAGCUCAACUUGGGAACUGCGUUUGAAACUACAAGACUAGAAUAUGUCAGAGGGGGGUAGAAUUCCACGUGUAGCAGUGAAAUGCGUAGAGAUGUGGAGGAAUAUCAAUGGCGAAGGCAGCCCCCUGGGAUAAUAUUGACGCUCAUGCACGAAAGCGUGGGGAGCAAACAGGAUUAGAUACCCUGGUAGUCCACGCCCUAAACGAUGUCAACUAGUUGUUGGUAGAGUAAAAUCUAUGAGUAACGCAGCUUAACGCGUGAAGUUGACCGCCUGGGGAGUACGAUCGCAAGNUUAAAACNAAAGAUGACGNNGAGAGNGCGAGACGACGACGAGGGAGAGG
This 615-nucleotide ribosomal RNA is filed under the name uncultured bacterium. RNAcentral describes it as "bacterial SSU rRNA". It matches the Rfam family "Bacterial small subunit ribosomal RNA", at positions 338 to 944 of the family's 1533-position model. The record is from RNAcentral.